AGGGGUAGCAAUACCACUGGCGCACGGGUGAGUAACACUUUGGCCAUCUGCCCCUAUCACAGACAUAACCUCGGGAAACCGAGGCUAAUAUCUGAUGAGGUCGUGAGAUCAAAGCUUCGGCGGAUAGGGAUGAGCCUGCGGCUGAUUAGCUAGUUGGUGAGGUAAUGGCUCACCAAGGCGACGAUCAGUAGCUGGUCUGAGAGGACGAUCAGCCACACUGGAACUGAGACACGGUCCAGACUCCUACGGGAGGCAGCA
This 258-nucleotide ribosomal RNA is filed under the name uncultured bacterium. RNAcentral's name for it is "partial 16S ribosomal RNA". It matches the Rfam family "Bacterial small subunit ribosomal RNA", at positions 66 to 353 of the family's 1533-position model. The record is from RNAcentral.